RNAcentral lists this ribosomal RNA (123 nucleotides) under Pneumocystis carinii. RNAcentral's name for it is "partial large subunit ribosomal RNA". Lineage: Eukaryota; Fungi; Ascomycota; Pneumocystomycetes; Pneumocystales; Pneumocystaceae. The record is from RNAcentral.
AAAUAGUAGGUAUAGCACUGAAUAUCUCGAGGGAGUAUGAAAAUAUUUAUCUCAGAUAUUUAAUCUCAAAAUAACUAUUUCUUAAAAUAAAUAAUCAGACUAUGUGCAGAUAAGCUAGAUAGU